RNA transcript from Salvia miltiorrhiza (redroot sage), 1948 nucleotides. RefSeq lists it as uncharacterized. The record is from RefSeq and is a predicted model, not a curated record. The transcript has 10 exons. NCBI's taxonomy places the organism in Eukaryota, Viridiplantae, Streptophyta, Magnoliopsida, Lamiales, Lamiaceae.
CAUUUUUUAUUAAAAAUCUAAAUUAGAAAUCUAAAUACCAAAAAUUGAAUAUUAAAAGUGAAAAAAAGAAAAAGACAAAUCCUUAUUUCUCUUCAAAAUUUCCCCCAAUCUCUUCAAAAAUUUUCUCCAAUCCCGCGCUGAAUCCAAUCCUGUCUCCUCCCUGUCUCUCGACUCCCUCUCUCCCCUCUCAACUCCGUCGCCGGCGCCGCUGCCCUGCACCGGCCCGUCGCCGCCCAUCCUCGCUGCUGCCCCGCGCCCUAGUUCUUCUCUAUUCGAUUGGUUGAGCCCUAGUUCUUCUCUGUUCGAAACAACCCAGCCGUCGCCAUCUCAGGAAGACCGGCGAGCUACGCGACCUAGAGCCCGCCCAUCGUUGCUGGUGGUCCGAGGAUCGGCGAGCCGAUGGUGUUCUACGGCCGGUUCUCUUCUCAACUCCACAUAAUCGAGGCAGGAAAGGGGGAAAGCCCUAAUUCUCUAAUUUGCAAUCGAGAGCAGAUGAGGUUGAUAAUUGGGCGUCGAACAAGAGUUUUGCCCCUUCUCCCUCUCUCUACCUCCUCUCUGCGCCGCCUUUGUCUCCGGCGAGCAGCCGCUAGCCGCCACCUUCUCCAGCCUGGCGUCGCCCCCCAUCCCCAUCACCCCUCUCUCGCUUCCACCACCACGAGCAACCUCCAUCGUCGGCUCAGCGCCCACCACCGCUCCAAUCGCACCACCACUACCCCUGGCACCUGCCUCCAGCCUCUGACUCCGACAACAGUCGCCCUCAUUCUUCAGUGUUGUACAGGUCACUUAACAAGCCGAUGCAGCUGGAGCAUUGGAAAGAAGAGAGUGGAGACCCUUGUGCAGAACCACCCUGGACUGGAGUUCAAUGCAUCGGAUCAUCAAUUAUCGACCUUAAACUUCAUGGGCUGGGGCUGACAGGAAGCAUUGGAUUUGAGCUCUCAAAUCUCAAGAGUCUGAAGAAAUUGGACCUUAGUUCAAAUGACAUUGAGGGAUCAAUCCCCUACAGUUUACCUCCCAACCUCACGCACCUAAACUUCGCUGAGAACAAAUUUAGUCAGAGCUUUCCAUACUCGAUAGAGAAGAUGAAACACCUCCAACAUCUGUUUGAAAGUACACGGUGAUAGAGAGAUUGAUAAAGAGAUAAGCUUCAAGAAAUAACUUCCCAAUUCUGGUGCCCCCAGUUAGCUUCAGUGAACGAGAAUCGGGAAUAUGUUAUAGUAGGUGGUGGAAAUUCAGUUGGUUAUGCUGCUCGGACUUUUGUUGAGCAUGGAGUGGCUGAUGGGAAGCUCUGCAUUGUCUCCAAAGAGGUUUUUCAUUCUAUAAUAUGGCACAAAACUUUGUGUUGCUGCGCUGCUUUAGUUGUUCUUGUGGAGUAUCAGACAAUGAAAUUUUGUGUAUUUUGUGAGCCAUAAUUAGCUUGCCUUUUUCUCAGUUCGGAUGGUUUGUUUAUAGUAGUACUCUACUUGUUUCAGUCUGUUCUUCUUGUUUAUAGAUCCUAAAUUUGCUUCUUCUUUUGUCUGAUCUUCCUGGUCUCACUGAUACUGAGAAACCAAGGAUGAGAGGUCCAAAGAGGGCUUCAAAGAUCCGCAAGCUCUUCAACCUUAACAAGGAAGAUGAUGUUAGGAAGUAUGUCAACACAUACCGUCGCACAUUCACCACCAAAUCUGACAACAAAGUCAGCAAAGCUCCUAAGAGUGGAGAUGAGAAAGUGAUAGGAGGACUUUCAUGCUUGAUGUCGGAAAUUGGUCAAGCUGUGGGUAUCAUUUUACAAUUAUUUUGAGGUCAAAAGACAACCAGAGAAUCAUAGCAGGUUGACUAACUAGUUCUUGAGGAUUUGGUGCUAGAAAUAUUGUAUGAUAGAUUUUUAUUUUAGCUAUAAGGUAGUUGGUAUUUUCAAUUUUGAAUAGGAAUAUGCAAUGAUGAUGUAUACUUGAUAUUUGGUUCAUUUGUA